UUUAAUUUAUUUUUGAAUUAAAAAAAAUCAUGUGUUACGUAGAUAAUUAAUUAGGUGACACGUAGAUAUUUUAAUUAAUUAUUACUAAUAUAUACAAUUCCAUCCAAAAUCUAACACUCUAAUAAUUAAACAAUAAAUCUAAAAUAAAUUUAUCCAAAAUCAAACACUAAUCUAAAAUAAAAUUCAACCAAAAUCAAACACUAAUCUAAAUAAAAUUUAAUCUAAAAUCAAACACUAAUCCAAUAAUAGAGCGUCACGUAAGAAAUCUAAUGCUUUCGGGCAAUGAAAAAUAAUAUUUUGAAUUAAAAAAGUCGAGUGCCAAGUAGAUAAAAAAUUAGAAUUCGUGCAUUGCACGGGCUAAAAUCUAGUAUGUAAAUAAGAUAGUCGAUAUAAAAAAGGAAACAAAUUAGAAUAUUAAGAUUUUCCCACCUUUUUUGUACAUAUAUAAUAUGUUAUAUAUAAGUUAAAUAUUUCAGUUUCCAAUUUAAAUCAUGACACGUAAACACGCCAUAUCAUCAUUGUGACACGUCUUAAAGGUCGCAUGUUGCGACCUUUAUCAUUUUCGUAAAAAAGAUAUUAAAGCCAACAACACUGCAUUGGCUCCUUGGUAUAUUACCGUAGAAAUCAUCAAGUAUCUUACCAACAAAGCUUGAUUUGAUUGCUCAUUUUAUUUUAUUUUUCAAAUUCUGUAUUUCGAUUAGAAUUAAACCCUUCUAUAUCCAACACAUUUCAUCAAUUGCCCAAUUCAUCAAAACCCACCUCCCAAUUUCUAGUCAAUUGCACAAUUAAAUCCAUCAUUUAGAUUAUAACUAGUAUAGUACCUGUACGAUGCACGAUUUAUAAUCUAAAUAUAAAUUUAUAUGAAAUAUGGUAGACAAUUAUCAUAAAAAUAGAGUUUAUAGAUAUUCUCCAAACUAAAUUUAAUGAUGGAUAAAUUUUAUAUUGAUUAUUCGGUGUCUUAUUAAACAAUUAAAACGAUUAAAAGAAAUAAGGGUACGUAAAUUAUUUUCAUUCUCUUUCACCACCAGUGUCAAGCAUAAAGUUAUCUCAUCCACUCUUUACUUCAAUAGUAAUACCCUCCUAAUACUCGCACAGUCGCCUCAUCAACCCCAUUACCCGAUCACUUAACACCUACCUACACCAUUUACUUUAUUUAGGUAUAGAUGACUUUGAGGCGGUGCGAGGCUUGCACACCCGUACCCGCCUGUAAUUCAAUUCUCAUUAUCCCCUCCAUCCACGAUAGGGAUGAUCAUACCUACCUCUCCCAAUCCCUGUCUCGAAAGGUACAAAAUAAAAUGCAUUCCCUAUCUCUUCAUCACCCCCUGUAUCCACACCCGCCUCAUACCUACUCCUAGGCUCAACUUUUUUUUUGUAAGGGAGUUUGAAUUUCAAAACUAUAUUAUGGAGUAUUUGAGAAUUCGUUUUCCUGAUCAGAGUAAUUGAGUAAAUAAAAAAAUAUUAUAAUAUGUAAGUUAGUAGUAAAUAUUUUUAUAUAUUCAUACUUAAUUAGAUGUAGGAUUAUUGACGUGUGCAGGUCCAAUCUAAUUACAUUCAUCAUCGCCCCAUCACCCGCGAAAAAAUAAAUUUUUUAAACCCAUCACUUACAAAACUUUCCUCCAUCCCCGCAUAUUUGGGGCAGAUGCGCGAGGGGAUCACCCACAAAAUCCACCCCCCUGAAAUUAACAUCCCGAUAUUCGAUAAUAAUCCACUUUUCCAUUCAACUAACUUUUAAAUAUCUUAACAUAAGUUUAUUACGAAGUAUUAAAAUUGAUUGUAUUAGCUAUAAUAUUGAUAAAAAUAUAUUCAAAAGUGACAUACAUAAUUAGGAUUGGGUGAGUAUUAUCAAAUCCAAUCAAUUCAAACUCGCCCCAUCACAAAAAUGGGUACAUGUUAUCCUUAUAUCCGUCCAUCAACAACAAAUUUAUCGUUAGUCAACAUUUCAAUCAUCUACGUUUAUUUUUGUGGUCAGCCCAUUCUAAAGUCCAAACUCGCCCCGUCAUCAAAGGUGAUGCAUAUAUAAAUUUAAUUUUGCACGGAAUUUUAGAUUGAUAUUGCAAUCAUUUACAUAAUUAGUAUAUAAAAAAUAUUUUAUUUUUGCAAACAUAUUAAUAAUAAGGAAACUUAAUCAUCUAGGUCUUAUAAUUUUGAAAAUAGUUACGGAGUAUUACGAUAUUAUUAGUCAAAAUUUCAAUCUACAUGCCUUUAAGACUUCAAUAAUAUGAGCGAAUAAAUUAUUAUCCGUGCUCUGUAUAAAAAUAUUACAAUAAUGAUAAUGUAGCCAAAGUUUAUUUUGAUAUUAAGAUUAAGAUAAGCUACUGGCUAGGGUCCGUCAUUAAAAAAAAAAGUGCAUGGAUAAGGGUCUCAUUUUGCUAGUUAACAUUGGGCUUAUAGUAAUUGGUUUUAUAUACUCUUAUUUACAGUUGAUUGAUUUUCUAAUUUAUUUGUAUUCUAAUUAUGUAAGUACAAAUCAGUAGACUACUCUUAAAUUUUUAGUCGACAUUAGUGAAUCAUCUUUAGCCCAAUCUAAAAUCCAAAAUGGUAUCAUCAUCAAGUAUGAUGCACCAUCUACAUGUAUAAAUCAAAUGUUGCACGAAAUUUUUAAGAGAUAUGCAAUCAUUUACAUUAACAAAAUUUUCAAUUCAACUUAUUUACUUUUCUUAAUUUAAGUCUAUUCCUUAAAUAAAUAAUUACUUCUUAUCAAUAUGAUUUUGUUUGAAAUUAAAAUUUUAUUGAAUAAAAUUUAUAAUCAACUAUUUUCUUAAUUAGCUUCAUUCACAUUCAAUUACAAUUAAUAGUUAAUUCAAAUUUUACUUGAGCCCGUACAUGUUAGGUUUUUACAAUUUUGGUUUUGUGACUGAUUGCAUGUCCUUUGAAAUUCUGUACUUCGAUUAGAAUUAAACCGUUCUAUAUCCAACACAUUUCAUCAAUUGCCCAAUUCAUCAAAACCCACCUCCCAAUUUCUAGUCAAUUGCACAAUUAAAUCCAUCCUUUAGAUUAUAACUAGUAUAGGACCCGUGCGAUGCACGAUUUACAUAUUUUAACUUUAAGUGCAAAGUUAAAUUAACUUAGAACAUAGAAAAAUACGUAGAUUUUUUUAUUCAUUUUCACGCAUCACCCAUAAUUCAUUUUAGAUAUAAUAAUCAAAUAUCAUCCUAUACUAUGAGAGAUUUCAAUUCUCAACCUGAACCGUUGAACUCGCUGGGUUGGUCUGAUCGUUUAGAACCCGAACCGUUAAUAACCUGCGAGCUAGAACUCAAAAUCGAUCCAAUUAUAUUCAUCCCAAACCGAUUAAGAUCCUAAACACGAUAACAAACCUUUUCGCAACAACACGAUUCGUUUCAAGCCGAACCUAAUGGAUCUGGAAUCCGUUAGUGACCCAAUCCGUUUCAAUCUGAACCGUUUGAACCGAGGAAAACCCUUUUACAACCUGAACGAUUUUAACCUGUAACCCGCUUAAUCCAAACCAUUUACAACAUGUAACUCGUUUAAUUCGAAUCGUUUGUAACCCCAUAGUCCAUUUAAUCUCGCUACUGGUCUUAAACUUUUAACACUUUUAAAAGUUAGUUAUUGCCUUUCUCGUCCCCUAAUCACGGCCUCAAUAUUUGUAUUUAUAAACUUAUUAAAAACUGUGAUUUUAUAAUUGGAACCGAAUUCACCUGACCCGAAGCACAAUCCUCUACCCAUUUCAUAACGCUAUUGAUUUAUCCACAUUGUAUGAACCUAAACCAACAAAAACCUGAAUCGAUAUAAACUUGAACCUUAUGUAACCCAUCUAUACCUGUUCAACCCAACCCAUUCAGAUCCAAUAUUAAGUUCAAUUACUAUUUCAUUUUUUAUUGUGUUACCCGUACCCAUUUUGUUACCCGCCCCAUCUCAAGUUUAUUCUCUUGAAAUCAGGUUAGAUCAAAUCCAUAAAUUUCAAUUAUGCCCUAUUAGAUUUAAUCAGGUCCAAGUCUAGUAAAUUUGUCUUUUGUUUAUGGUACAGUAGUAAUACGUAUAUAUGUUGAAUAAGGUAUAUGACUUAUUGAAAUAUUUAGUUCAAAUAUUCCUAUACGUAUGGGUUAAUCGCAAUAAAGAAUAUAUACAUAAUAAACAUUCCAAUACAAUUUUAUUCCUAUUAUCCUAUAAAAAGUAUAAGAGAAUAAAAUUAUUGUAGUUUGCUAAUAAAACAUGUGUGCCUUCGGUUAUUCAUAUAUUGAUGGUUAGUAAACGUUAACGUGAUUACGCAAUUAUACCUUUUUUUUUCUUUGACGAGAGGUUAUACCUAUACUCUUGUACGCGGCACAUUAAAUCAUGUUUAGUAAUGCAUAUUUGCAGAAUAUUUAGCGUUUACUAAUGCAUAUUAGCAGAAUAUUUGACAUACCAUAAUUAAGGUUUUUGUUUUAAUUAAUUAUUAUAUUAUAAGAGAGGCAAAUCAAAGAGUGACACUUGGCAGCUCGACAUUGAUUCCCUAUCUCUCUUUUAGUAUAAUAUAUAUAUAUAUAGAAAAUUUAUAAAUUUUAGUUGUUUCCUUAUCCAAAUAUAUUAUGGUGUAUAUUUUUCCUUAAGUAACACAAAGUAAAUUUGACUAAUAAUUGUAAUUAUUAUUAAAAAAUUAUAAGAGAGACGAAUCAUAAAGUGACCCAUUUAUCAUCACCACACUUAUUUUCUCUCUUUUAGUAUAAGAUAUAGAUAAGAUUACACAAUAUUCAUAAUCUUUGACUCGAUUGCAAAUAUUGUGCUUUGGCUAUAUAUAUAUGGUAGAGUUUUUUUUUUUUUUUAAGUCAAUUGAACUAAUGAGUGAGAAUAAGAGUUGGGGUUUAAUAUAAUUAACUUAAAUUAUUAAAUUAAUUAAUUGCAAUACAUAUCAGUACAUAAUAGUUUCAGUCCAUAGCAGUGCACAUCAUUUACUAUAGACUCAUUCAAAAAUGUACUGAGCAAAAAAAUCAUAAAAAACUAUAAUCGAAGGGAAUAAUCAAUUUCUGUCAAGUUGCCAAAUGAAGUUUAUUUAUGAUAGGAAAUCAACAAAAGUUGGUCUAAUUAGAAAUUUAAACACAAUAAUAAAACUCGAAAAUAAUUAUUUUUCAAUCAAUUAGCCAUUUUCCAUCAACUGUUAACAUUCUUUCAAUACAUUCUCUGUAAUCCCCCGUAAAUUUAUAAAUUUUAUUAAUAUAUUUUAACGUAUAUUAUUUAUAUUUAAAUAGAAUUUAUGAACUUUAGUAAUAAAUAUAUAAUUAACGUAUAUUUAUUUAUUACAUUUUAAUAUUUUCAACGAUUUACGAAAUCGAAAAUGAUUUUAGAAUUUUAAGUUAAAACGCAUUUGAAUUACGAAAUUCCGUUCGAUUGAAAUUAGGAAACAAUCCUAAACAGUGUUGAAUUCAAAUUCUAAAGUUAAAUACUACUCCUAGCCCAAUUGGGCAAAGCCCAAGCCAAUAAACCCAACAAAACACCCCCUUCUCUUCUCUAUUUUUCACGUGAAACCAAAGAAAGAAAAAGAAACCCUCCAUCCUUCUUUCAAUCUCACGCACGACAACACAGCUGUGCCCUCCUCUCCACCUUGCUCUUCGCGGCGCCGUCCCAGCCGCCACAGCCACCGGUGAUAACGCCGCCACCGUGAGCUCGCCGCCGUCGAUACUCCGCCGCCGCCAGCACAUCCCUGACCACCGUCCCGCCACCACCACCGUGUGCCGCCGCCGCACGCAACUUCUUGCUCAGCCUUGCCGCGAACCAACGUCCGUCCGCCGGCCAGCUCUUCUCUCUCCUCCUUAAUUCUUGGCGGAGAAUUCUCUUUAGGCGACUUUUGAAAGUGUUAAAGUGGCCUAUCAGUUUGUUUACACAAGGAAUAAAAUGUUUCUUUCCAAGUAUACCAACAUAGGAUCUUUCGAGAAACUUGAUAUAGAAACCUCAGAUAUUUACGUGAAGAAAAUCAUGUUUGGAUGUGAAUAUUAUGCUAAAGUUCAAGGGCAACCUAUCUUAAUGAGAAAGGAUAUCAUAGCAGCUACUAUCAUUAAUUGCUUACCUAACAAAUUUCCAUACCUAGAACUCAAGGAAAAGUUUAAAGACAUGCAUUCUGAUAAUGGAACUCCAAACUUGGCUAAAUAUGGAAUUGGGAUGGUAGAUGGAAAUAUGAUUCAGAAAUUCUGACCACCAUUAUUGAGGCGGCAGAAAGUGGGUUUAGAGACGGUAAAAUCGUAGGGAGUCAUGUUGGAGAUGCAGUUACAGAAGAACCUAUGGGAGUAAGUGUAAAUAAUGACCUAGAGGAAAAUGAUGUAGCCGUGGAGAGUGAGAAUGUAGGUGUUGAGGCAGAGAAUCCUAACCUAGUGGCCCAUGAGCCAACCAUUGAAAUUUCUAAAGAUUCAGAUGCAGAUCUCGAAAGUGAGCAGGAGGUGGCAAAUGAGCCUAAUCAAGAUGAAGAUAUGGAAGAAGAUGAAGACCCUGAGGAAGAGUUUGAUGAUCUUGAGAUCUAAAUUUCACUCCGCAAGUUUCAGGAGCAAUGGAUAGGCAAGAGGCCACAAAUAUUUUGAAGUCAUAAAUAGUUAAUUUAACUCUUUUAUGUUUUAGAGAAUAAGUAGCGAAGCUACAACAGUUUAAAGUUAAAGUUUAUUGAAGUUUGAAAUGUUCUUUAUUAUUUUCAAGGAUGUAAUAAACCUUUAUGGAGUUAGCAAUAAAAGUUAAAAAUUUCAAGGAAUUAUUCUUUAUU
Long non-coding RNA from Spinacia oleracea (spinach), 6679 nucleotides. RefSeq lists it as uncharacterized. The record is from RefSeq and is a predicted model, not a curated record. The transcript has 5 exons. Lineage: Eukaryota; Viridiplantae; Streptophyta; Magnoliopsida; Caryophyllales; Amaranthaceae.